Molecule: ribosomal RNA, 434 nt
Filed under: uncultured bacterium
Lineage: Bacteria
Description: partial 16S ribosomal RNA
Rfam family: Bacterial small subunit ribosomal RNA
Source: RNAcentral
GAUGAACGCUGGCGGCGUGCCUAACACAUGCAAGUCGAACGAACCUUUCGGGGUUAGUGGCGGACGGGUGAGUAACACGUGGGAACGUGCCUUUAGGUUCGGAAUAACUCAGGGAAACUUGUGCUAAUACCGAAUGUGCCCUUCGGGGGAAAGAUUUAUCGCCUUUAGAGCGGCCCGCGUCUGAUUAGCUAGUUGGUUGAGGUAAUGGCUCACCAAGGCGACGAUCAGUAGCUGGUCUGAGAGGAUGAUCAGCCACAUUGGGACUGAGACACGGCCCAAACUCCUACGGGAGGCAGCAGUGGGGAAUCUUGCGCAAUGGGCGAAAGCCUGACGCAGCCAUGCCGCGUGAAUGAUGAAGGUCUUAGGAUUGUAAAAUUCUUUCACCGGGGACGAUAAUGACGGUACCCGGAGAAGAAGCCCCGGCUAACUUCGUG